RNAcentral lists this non-coding RNA (185 nucleotides) under bovine gut metagenome. The record is from RNAcentral.
UGUGCCGUUUGGGCAUGGCCGGUGAAAAGGGAAUCGGGUGAAAGUCCCGGACGGUACCAGCCGCUGUAUGUACCAAAGCUUUAUAUCCAUAGGUGAAAGCCGGUCAUUGGGAAACCGAGAAGGCGGAGAUAAGGCGCGAAGAUAAGAUUUUCAUAUGGUAUAAGUCAGAAGACCUGCUUUGAUGU